This 468-nucleotide ribosomal RNA is filed under the name uncultured bacterium. Its description in RNAcentral is "partial 16S ribosomal RNA". It matches the Rfam family "Bacterial small subunit ribosomal RNA", at positions 28 to 507 of the family's 1533-position model. The record is from RNAcentral.
GACGAACGCUGGCGGCGUGCUUAACACAUGCAAGUCGAACGGACAGGCCCUGCUUUUGUGGGGUGCUCGAUUGGCGAACGGGUGAGUAACACGUGAGUAACCUGCCCUUGACUUUGGGAUAACUUCAGGAAACUGGGGCUAAUACCCGAUAGGAUCUCCUGCUGCAUGGUGGUGGUUGGUAAGUUUCGGCGGUUGGGGAUGGACUCGCGGCUUAUCCGCUUGUUGGUGGGGUAGUGGCUUACCAAGGCUUUGACGGGUAGCCGGCAUGAGAGGGUGACCGGCCACAUUGGGACUGAGAUAGGGCCCAGAAGGCAACGGGAGGCAGCAGUGGAGAAUAUUGCACAAUGGGCCGAAGCCUGAGACAGAAACGCCGCGUGCGGGAUGACGGCUUUCGGGUUGUAAACCGCUUUCGCCUGUGACGAAGCGUGAGUGACGGUAAUGGGUAAAGAAGCACCGGCUAACUACGUG